CCCGCUGAACUUAAGCAUAUCAAUAAGCGGAGGAAAAGAAACUAACAAGGAUUCCCCUAGUAACUGCGAGUGAAGCGGGAAAAGCUCAAAUUUAAAAUCUGGCGGUUUUUGGCCGUCCGAGUUGUAGUCUGGAGAAGUGCUUUCCGCGCUGGACCGUGUAUAAGUCUCUUGGAACAGAGCGUCAUAGAGGGUGAGAAUCCCGUCUUUGACAUGGACUACCAGUGCUUUGUGAUGCGCUCUCAAAGAGUCGAGUUGUUUGGGAAUGCAGCUCAAAAUGGGUGGUGAAUUCCAUCUAAAGCUAAAUAUUGGCGAGAGACCGAUAGCGAACAAGUACCGUGAGGGAAAGAUGAAAAGCACUUUGGAAAGAGAGUUAAACAGUACGUGAAAUUGCUGAAAGGGAAACGCUUGAAGUCAGUCGCGUCGCCCGGAACUCAGCCUCGCUUUGGCUUGGUGCACUUUCCGGAUGACGGGCCAGCAUCGAUUUUGACCGUCGGAAAAGGACUGGAGUAAUGUGGCACCUCCGGGUGUGUUAUAGACUCUAGUCGCAUACGGCGGUUGGGAUCGAGGAACGCAGCGCGCCGCAAGGCAGGGACGUUGUCCACUUUCGCGCUUAGGAUGCUGGCAUAAUGGCUUUAAACGACCCGUCUUGAAACACGG
This 657-nucleotide ribosomal RNA is filed under the name uncultured fungus. RNAcentral's name for it is "eukaryotic LSU rRNA". It matches the Rfam family "Eukaryotic large subunit ribosomal RNA", at positions 24 to 664 of the family's 3401-position model. Lineage: Eukaryota; Fungi. The record is from RNAcentral.